AUCCAGAUGAUGAGUCUCAAAUAAGAAGAAACGAGCGUUCUGGAU
Molecule: non-coding RNA, 45 nt
Organism: Schistosoma mattheei
Lineage: Eukaryota; Metazoa; Platyhelminthes; Trematoda; Strigeidida; Schistosomatidae
Source: Rfam